GAUGAACGCUAGCUACAGGCUUAACACAUGCAAGUCGAGGGGAAACGACAUCGGAAGCUUGCUUUGAUGGGCGUCGACCGGCGCACGGGUGAGUAACGCGUAUCCAACCUGCCCACCACUUGGGGAUAACCUUGCGAAAGUAAGACUAAUACCCAAUGACGUCUCUAGAAGACAUCUGAAAGGGAUUAAAGAUUUAUCGGUGAUGGAUGGGGAUGCGUCUGAUUAGCUUGUUGGCGGGUAACGGCCCACCAAGGCAACGAUCAGUAGGGGUUCUGAGAGGAAGGUCCCCCACAUUGGAACUGAGACACGGUCCAAACUCCUACGGGAGGCAGCAGUGAGGAAUAUUGGUCAAUGGGCGAGAGCCUGAACCAGCCAAGUAGCGUGCAGGAUGACGGCCCUAUGGGUUGUAAACUGCUUUUAUAAGGGAAUAAAGUGAGCCUCGUGAGGCUUUUUGCAUGUACCUUAUGAAUAAGGACCGGCUAAUUCCGUG
This 490-nucleotide ribosomal RNA is filed under the name uncultured bacterium. RNAcentral describes it as "bacterial SSU rRNA". It matches the Rfam family "Bacterial small subunit ribosomal RNA", at positions 28 to 507 of the family's 1533-position model. The record is from RNAcentral.